Molecule: ribosomal RNA, 252 nt
Filed under: uncultured bacterium
Lineage: Bacteria
Description: partial 16S ribosomal RNA
Rfam family: Bacterial small subunit ribosomal RNA
Source: RNAcentral
UACGGAGGAUGCGAGCGUUAUCCGGAUUUAUUGGGUUUAAAGGGUACGUAGGCGGUCCGGAAAGUCAGCGGUAAAAGCCCGGGGCUCAACCCCGGCGAGCCGUUGAAACUGUUGGACUAGAGACGGCGAGAAGUACGCGGAAUGCGCGGUGUAGCGGUGAAAUGCAUAGAUAUCGCGCAGAACUCCGAUUGCGAAGGCAGCGUACCGGCGCCGGACUGACGCUGAGGCACGAAAGCGUGGGUAUCGAACAGG